UCCCUGAUAGCUCAGUUGGUAAAGAAUCUGCCUGCAACGCAGGAGACCCCAGUUUGAUUCCUGGGUUGGGAA
This 72-nucleotide transfer RNA is filed under the name Bos taurus (domestic cattle). It matches the Rfam family "tRNA". From Rfam's summary of the family: Transfer RNA (tRNA) molecules are approximately 80 nucleotides in length. Their secondary structure includes four short double-helical elements and three loops (D, anti-codon, and T loops). RNAcentral also lists the same sequence under 2 other names. The record is from Rfam by way of RNAcentral. Lineage: Eukaryota; Metazoa; Chordata; Mammalia; Artiodactyla; Bovidae.